Molecule: ribosomal RNA, 468 nt
Filed under: uncultured bacterium
Lineage: Bacteria
Description: partial 16S ribosomal RNA
Rfam family: Bacterial small subunit ribosomal RNA
Source: RNAcentral
GACGAACGCUGGCGGCGGGCUUAACACAUGCAAGUCGAACGGAAAGGCCCUGCUUUCGUGGGGUGCUCGAGUGGCGCACGGGUGUGUAACCCGGGAGUAACCUGCCCUUGACUUUGGGAUAACUUCAGGAAACUGGUGCUAAUACCGGAUAGGAGCUCCUGCUGCUUGGUGGGGGUUGGAAAGUUUCGGCGGAUGGGGAUGGACUCGGGGGUAAUCAGCUUGUUGGUGGGGUAGUGGCUUACGAAGGCUUUGACGGGUAGCCGGCCUGAGAGGGUGACCGGGGACAUUGGGACUGCGAUACGGCGCAGAGUCGAACGGGAGGCAGCAGUGGGGAGUCUGGAACAAUGGGGGGAAGCGUGAUGAAGAAGCGUUGCGUUCGUGAUGAAGGCCAUCGUGUUGUAAACCGCUUUCGCCUGUGACGAUGCGGGAGUGACGGUAAUGGGUAAAGAAGCACCGGCUAACUACGUG